Molecule: ribosomal RNA, 407 nt
Filed under: uncultured bacterium
Lineage: Bacteria
Description: partial 16S ribosomal RNA
Rfam family: Bacterial small subunit ribosomal RNA
Source: RNAcentral
AUUGAACGCUGGCGGCAGGCCUAACACAUGCAAGUCGAGCGGAGCGGCGGACGGGUGAGUAAUGCCUAGGAAUCUGCCUGGUAGUGGGGGAUAACGUCCGGAAACGGGCGCUAAUACCGCAUACUAUCAGAUGAGCCUAGGUCGGAUUAGCUAGUUGGUGGGGUAAAGGCCUACCAAGGCGACGAUCCGUACCUGGUCUGAGGGGAUGAUCAGUCACACUGGAACUGAGAAACGGUCCAGACUCCUACGGGGGGCAGAAGUGGGGAAUAUUGGCAAAUGGGCGAAAGCCUGAUCCGGCCAUGCCGCGUGGGUGAAGAAGGUUUUCGGUUGGUAAAGCUCUUUAAGUUGGGAGGCGUUACCAACAGAAUAAGCAACGGCUAACUUCGUGCCAGCAGCCGCGGUAAUUC